GCAGUUAUCCUGUACUUGCUCCACCAUUGUGCAUUUGGUGUUUGUUAAGGCAGAUAAUUUUUCUUUUUUAGUUUAUAGCUCUUGAGAUUACAAGGAACUGUACGUAAGGGGCUGUAUUUGAGGAACUGUACCCAAGAAGUUCAUCCAUACCUGGACCUCAAGCCUCAGCCUGAUGUUCUCACUCAAGAACCCAGCCCCCAUAGUGUGAGGAGGCCUAGGACAGUUACAGAAGCCAUGUGUAGGUGUUCUGGCUCCAGCAAAAGUCUUAUCUGACAACAUCAACUACAUGUUAGUGGCCUUUCCUUGAAAUUGCUGGAGCUUGUGCAUCAUCAAAAUAAUGGCAUAAACCAAGGAAGAAGAAAACAAAAUUGAGGAAAUGGGAUCCAACACAAAAGAGAGACAACAGGAUUAAUUGAGUGUUGGUGAAAAGCCACAGCCUGUAAAUAAUGCAGUUCGAACUGAAAUAGACCAGGAGGCUCAAGGAGAGACUUCUUCAAGAAGAUAAAAUUGAUAGAAUGCCUAAGGAGUUUGAGUGCAUUGAGAAUAGAUUCAUAUCAGUUCUGGAGAACUGGGUGGAUACAUUAAUGUUAAGUACAUAGAAAAGUUAAAAAUGAAAAAAAUUCUCAAUUCUAGGGAAAAUAAUCAUAGUAAACUACAUGUUUUAGUUACCAAUAGUGUUUACGUAGUCAAUAUAAACAAUGGGCAUUGAUAUAAAUAAUGUAUGUUGAUCUGCUAUAACAAGGGUUUGUCUUGGUCCAUUUUAUGCUGCUAUAACAGAACACCACAGACUGAGAAAUUUAUAAGGAAUAGAAGUUUAUUUGCCUCAUGUUUCUGGAGGCUGGGAAUUCCAAGAUCAAGGGGCUGCAUAGAUUGAGGUCCUUUUUGCUGACUCAUAACGUGGAAAGAGAGUGCACUGCAUAGAAGAAAGGAGGCCAAACUCAUUCUUUUAUCAUGAGCCUACUCCUGAAAUAACUCACUCUCAAGAUAAUGGCAUUAAUCCAUUCAUGAAGGCAGAAUACUCAUGAUGUAAUCACCUCUUAAAAGACUAACCAGAAUUGGCUACAGUUUCUUCAAGAAAAUACCCCAAUGGAAGAAAAAAAGGUGGAGGGAGAAACUGAAUGAAGAAAGGAUGAUUUGAAAUUACCAGAAAGUGGAACGUGGAAAAAACAGAGUAAAACUAGUUUGAGAAUAAAAUCUUAGGUUGUAACAUCUUCUGGGAAUUUAUUCUUUAAAUAUUGCUUUUAACUGGAUUCUUUGGUAAAUAGUAAAUGCAUUUUGGUUUUGAUUUAAGC
RNAcentral lists this long non-coding RNA (1292 nucleotides) under Homo sapiens (human). RNAcentral's name for it is "HSALNT0376560". The record is from RNAcentral. Lineage: Eukaryota; Metazoa; Chordata; Mammalia; Primates; Hominidae.